ACUCAAAGGAAUUGACGGGGGCCCGCACAAGCGGUGGAGCAUGUGGUUUAAUUCGAUGCAACGCGAAGAACCUUACCUGCCCUUGACAUGCCACGAAGCCUGGUUAAGCGCCGGGCGUGCCGAAAGGAACGUGGACACAGGUGCUGCAUGGCUGUCGUCAGCUCGUGUCGUGAGAUGUUGGGUUAAGUCCCGUAACGAGCGCAACCCUUGUCCUUCGUUGCCACCCGAAAGGGGGAACUCGAAGGAGACUGCCGGUGAUAAAUCGGAGGAAGGUGGGGAUGACGUCAAGUCAUCAUGGCCUUUAUGGGCAGGGCUACACACGUGCUACAAUGGGCGUUACAGAGGGCAGCGAACCUGCGAAGGGGAGCAAAUCUUUGAAAAGCGCUCGUAGUCCGGAUCGGAGUCUGCAACUCGACUCCGUGAAGUCGGAAUCGCUAGUAAUCGCGGAUCAGAAUGCCGCGGUGAAUACGUUCCCGGGCCUUGCACACACCGCCCGU
Molecule: ribosomal RNA, 497 nt
Filed under: uncultured bacterium
Lineage: Bacteria
Description: partial 16S ribosomal RNA
Rfam family: Bacterial small subunit ribosomal RNA
Source: RNAcentral